This 486-nucleotide ribosomal RNA is filed under the name uncultured bacterium. RNAcentral's name for it is "partial 16S ribosomal RNA". It matches the Rfam family "Bacterial small subunit ribosomal RNA", at positions 30 to 507 of the family's 1533-position model. The record is from RNAcentral.
AUUGAACGCUGGCGGCAUGCCUUACACAUGCCAGUCGAACGGCAGCACGGGUGCUUGCCCCUGGUGGCGAGUGGCGAACGGGUGUGUAAUACAUCUGAACAUGUCCUGUAGUGGGGGAUAGCCCGUCGAAAGCCGGAUUAAUACCGCCUACGAACUACGUAUGCAAGCGGGGGCACUUCGGACCUCGCGCCUUACGGUUAGCCGAUGGCUGAUUAGCUAGUUGGUGGGGUAAAGGCCUACCAAGGCGACGAUCAGUAGCUGGUCUGAGAGGACGACCAGCCACACUGGAACUGAGACACGGCCCAGACUCCUACGGGAGGCAGCAGUGGGGAAUUUUGGACAAUGGGCGAAAGCCUGAUCCAGCAAUGCCGCGUGUGUGAAGAAGGCCUUCGGGUUGUAAAGCACUUUUGUCCGGAAAGAAAACCUUGGCCCUAAUACGGUCGGGGGAUGACGGUACCGGAAGAAUAAGCACCGGCUAACUACGUG